GGUCUUAUAUUCAUUAAUGAUUACAAAAUGCAAUUUUGUAGGAGUAGUUGAGGAGAGACUACUAAGACCU
This 70-nucleotide transfer RNA is filed under the name Sigmella ectobioides. RNAcentral's name for it is "tRNA-Cys". Lineage: Eukaryota; Metazoa; Arthropoda; Insecta; Blattodea; Blattellidae. The record is from RNAcentral.